Molecule: ribosomal RNA, 1342 nt
Filed under: Syncephalastrum sp. H23
Lineage: Eukaryota; Fungi; Mucoromycota; Mucoromycetes; Mucorales; Syncephalastraceae
Description: eukaryotic LSU rRNA
Rfam family: Eukaryotic large subunit ribosomal RNA
Source: RNAcentral
ACCAUGAUUGCCCUAGUAACGGCGAGUGAAGAGGCAAAAGCUCAAGUUUGGAAGCUCAAUGGUUUAACCAUUGCGCAUUGUAAACUGAAAACAGGAUCAAUCAGGUACACCGGGUGAUAAGUUCCUUGGAAUAGGACAUCAUGGAGGGUGAGAAUCCCGUCUUUGACCCGAGUCUAGUAUCUUUUGUAUUGGCCUGUUCAAGAGUCAGGUUGUUUGGGAAUGCAGCCUAAAGCUGGAGGUAAAUCCCUCCUGAAGCUAAAUAAUGGCGAGAGACCGAUAGCGAACAAGUACCGUGAGGGAAAGAUGAAAAGAACUCUGAAGAGAGAGUUAAACAGUACGUGAAAUUGCUUAAAGGGAAGCAUAUAAAGCUAGGAUGCGAUUGUUUUCUUCAGGUUGAGCUUUGGCUUGACUGUUCAGAAGGAUAAUCCAAGACAACAAGAAUUGGAGGAGGAGAAUAAGCCAUUGGGGAAGGUAAUCCUUCGGGAUGUUUAUAGACCUGAUGGUUCGCGCUCUUCUUUCGAUUGAGGUACGCUUUUUUUAAAGGUUGUUGUCUGAAUGGCUUUAUAUGGCCCGUCUUGAAACACGGACCAAGGAGUCCACCUAAUGUGCGAGUAUUUGGGAGGUAAACCCAUAUGCGCAAUGAAAGUGAUUUUACCUAUGAGGGGGUCUCUCGGGGCCUCUGCAAUAGGAUCGGGCAGGGACGUUUUAUACUGAACUGACUCAGAUAAAGCACAUUGGAUGGGACCCGAAAGAUGGUGAACUAUGCUUGGAUAGGGUGAAGCCAAAGGAAACUUUGGUGGAGGCUCGUAGCGAUUCUGACGUGCAAAUCGAUCGUCGAAUCUGAGCAUAGGGGCGAAAGACUAAUCGAACCAUCUAGUAGCUGGUUCCUGCCGAAGUUUCCCUCAGGAUAGCAGAAGUAAACGGCAGUUUUAUGAGGUAAAGCGAAUGAUUGGAGGCCUUGGGGGCGUAAUGCCCUUAACCUACUCUCAAACUUUAAAUAUGUAAGAUGACAGUCUUUCUUAAUUGAAGUCUGUCCAUCGAAUGCCUUACUUCUAGUGGGCCAUUUUUGGUAAGCAGAACUGGCGAUGCGGGAUGAACCGAACGCAAGGUUAAGGCGCCGGAAUCCACGCUCAUCAGACACCACAAAAGGUGUUGGUUCAUCUUGACAGCAGGACGGUGGCCAUGGAAGUCGGAAACCGCUAAGGAGUGUGUAACAACUCACCUGCCGAAUGAACCAGCCCUGAAAAUGGAUGGCGCUUAAGCGUGGUGCCUAUACCUUGCCAUUGGGGUGUAUUGGAAGCUCCAAUGAGUAGGCAGGCGUGGAGGUUUUGUUGUAAAGCUU